Molecule: ribosomal RNA, 445 nt
Filed under: uncultured bacterium
Lineage: Bacteria
Description: SSU rRNA
Rfam family: Bacterial small subunit ribosomal RNA
Source: RNAcentral
AGAGCGAACGCUGGCGGCAGGCCUAAUACAUGCAAGUCGAACGAACCCUUCGGGGUUAGUGGCGGACGGGUGAGUAACACGUGGGAACGUGCCCUUUGGUUCGGAACAACUCAGGGAAACUUGAGCUAAUACCGGAUAAGCCCUUCGGGGGAAAGAUUAUCGCCAUUGGAGCGGCCCGCGUCUGAUUAGCUAGUUGGUGAGGUAAAGGCUCACCAAGGCUUCGAUCAGUAGCUGGUCUGAGAGGAUGAUCAGCCACACUGGGACUGAGACACGGCCCAGACUCCUACGGGAGGCAGCAGUAGGGAAUCUUGCGCAAUGGGCGAAAGCCUGACGCAGCCAUGCCGCGUGAAUGAUGAAGGUCUUAGGAUUGUAAAAUUCUUUCAGCGGGGACGAUAAUGACGGUACCCGCAGAAGAAGCCCCGGCUAACUUCGCGCCAGCAGCCGC